UCAAAGGAAUUGACGGGGGCCCGCACAAGCGGAGGAACAUGUGGUUUAAUUCGAUGAUACGCGAGGAACCUUACCCGGGCUUAAAUUGCAGUGGAAUGAUGUGGAAACAUGUCAGUGAGCAAUCACCGCUGUGAAGGUGCUGCAUGGUUGUCGUCAGCUCGUGCCGUGAGGUGUCGGCUUAAGUGCCAUAACGAGCGCAACCCUUAUCUUUAGUUACUAACAGGUUAUGCUGAGGACUCUGGAGAGACUGCCGUCGUAAGAUGUGAGGAAGGUGGGGAUGACGUCAAAUCAGCACGGCCCUUACGUCCGGGGCUACACACGUGUUACAAUGGGGGGUACAGAAGGCAGCUAGCGGGUGACCGUAUGCUAAUCCCAAAAUCCUCUCUCAGUUCGGAUCGAAGUCUGCAACCCGACUUCGUGAAGCUGGAUUCGCUAGUAAUCGCGCAUCAGCCACGGCGCGGUGAAUACGUUCCCGGGCCUUGUACACACCGCCCGUCAAGCCAUGGGAGCCGGGGGUACCUGAAGUACGUAACCGCAAGGAUCGUCCUAGGGUAAAACUGGUGACUGGGGCUAAGUCGUAACAAGGUAGCCGUACCGGAAGGUGCGGCUGGAACACCUCCUUUCUGGAG
Molecule: ribosomal RNA, 629 nt
Filed under: Bacteroides fragilis
Lineage: Bacteria; Pseudomonadati; Bacteroidota; Bacteroidia; Bacteroidales; Bacteroidaceae
Description: bacterial SSU rRNA
Rfam family: Bacterial small subunit ribosomal RNA
Source: RNAcentral